This 468-nucleotide ribosomal RNA is filed under the name uncultured bacterium. Its description in RNAcentral is "partial 16S ribosomal RNA". It matches the Rfam family "Bacterial small subunit ribosomal RNA", at positions 28 to 507 of the family's 1533-position model. The record is from RNAcentral.
GACGAACGCUGGCGGCGUGCUUAACACAUGCAAGUCGAACGGAAAGGCCCUGCUUUUGUGGGGUGCUCGAGUGGCGAACGGGUGAGUAACACGUGAGUAACCUGCCCUUGACUUUGGGAUAACUUCAGGAAACUGGGGCUAAUACCGGAUAGGAGCUCCUGCUGCAUGGUGGGGGUUGGAAAGUUUCGGCGGUUGGGGAUGGACUCGCGGCUUAUCAGCUUGUUUGUGGGGUAGUGGCUUACCAAGGCUUUGACGGGUAGCCGGCCUGGGAGGGUGACCGGCCACAUUGGGACUGAGAUACGGCCCAGACUCCUACGGGCGGCAGCAGUGGGGAAUAUUGCACAAUGGGCGGAAGCCUGAUGCAACAACGCCGCGUGCGGAAUGACGGCCUUCGGGUUGUAAACCGCUUUCGCCUGUGACGAAGCGUGAGUGACGGUAAUGGGUAAAGAAGCACCGGCUAACUACGUG